Molecule: small RNA, 459 nt
Filed under: Pongo abelii (Sumatran orangutan)
Lineage: Eukaryota; Metazoa; Chordata; Mammalia; Primates; Hominidae
Description: retained intron
Source: RNAcentral
GUGUGAGAUGGCAUGUGUGUGUGACUACGCGAGUGGGUGUGAGAUGUGUGUGUGUGAAUAUGUAGGGGUGUGUGAAUGUGAGUGAGUCUGUGAGAUGGCAUGUGUGAGUGGUGGUGGGGGGUGGCACAGGGCCAGGUAGGGCCUCCCCAUCUCCUUCACAGGGGGCCCUCCCCUCUCCACUCUCUUUCCCUCCUGCCUCUCCUCUCUUCCCACUUCCUUCCCACCUCCCACCGCCCCGUCUGCGGCAGGGGUGCCUUCUCCGAGGUGGUGCUGGCCCAGGAGCGGGGCUCCGCACACCUCGUGGCCCUCAAGUGCAUCCCCAAGAAGGCCCUCCGGGGCAAGGAGGCCCUGGUGGAGAACGAGAUCGCAGUGCUCCGUAGGAUCAGUCACCCCAACAUCGUCGCUCUGGAGGAUGUCCACGAGAGCCCUUCCCACCUCUACCUGGCCAUGGAACUGUGA